GAUGAACGCUAGCGGCGGGCCUAACACAUGCAAGCCGAGCGGUAUUGUUUCUUCUGCACUGGGAGCGCGGCGUACGGGUGCGUAACACGUGUGCAACCUGCCUUUAUCUGGGGGAUAGCCUUUCGAAAGGAAGAGUAAUUCUCACUAAUAUAUUGAACGACAUCGUUUAAUAUUGAAAGCUCCGGCGGAAAGAGAUGGGCACGCGCAAGAUUAGCUAGUUGGUGAGGUAACGGCUCACCAAGGCGAUGAUCUGUAGGGGGCCGGAGAGGGUGAUCCCCCACACUGGGACCGAGACACGGACCACUCUCCUACGGGCCGCAGCAGUGCGGAAUAUUGGUCUAUGGGUGCUAGCCUGAACCAGCCAUCCCUGGUGAAGGACUACUGCGCUAGGGGUUGUAAACUUCUUGUGGAUAGGGGUAAUCCUACCCUCCUGAGCGUAGCUGACGGUACUAUAAGAAUAAGCACCGGCUAACUCCGUG
RNAcentral lists this ribosomal RNA (479 nucleotides) under uncultured bacterium. Its description in RNAcentral is "partial 16S ribosomal RNA". It matches the Rfam family "Bacterial small subunit ribosomal RNA", at positions 28 to 507 of the family's 1533-position model. The record is from RNAcentral.